Molecule: ribosomal RNA, 870 nt
Filed under: Methanococcus sp. Mc70_1
Lineage: Archaea; Methanobacteriati; Methanobacteriota; Methanococci; Methanococcales; Methanococcaceae
Description: bacterial SSU rRNA
Rfam family: Archaeal small subunit ribosomal RNA
Source: RNAcentral
CCACUUGCUUAUCGGGGGUCCGGACUAAGCCAUGCGAGUCAUGGGGCUCCCUUUUGGGAGCACCGGCGAACGGCUCAGUAACACGUGGCUAACCUACCCUCGGGUGGGGGAUAACCUCGGGAAACUGAGGCUAAUCCCCCAUAGGGGAGGAGGUCUGGAAUGAUCCCUCCCCGAAAGGCGUAAGCCGCCCGAGGAUGGGGCUGCGGCGGAUUAGGUAGUUGGUGGGGUAAUGGCCCACCAAGCCUACGAUCCGUACGGGCCCUGAGAGGGGGAGCCCGGAGAUGGACACUGAGACACGGGUCCAGGCCCUACGGGGCGCAGCAGGCGCGAAACCUCCGCAAUGCGCGAAAGCGCGACGGGGGGACCCCGAGUGCCCUGCCUCUGGCAGGGCUUUUCCGGAGUGUAAACAGCUCCGGGAAUAAGGGCUGGGCAAGUCCGGUGCCAGCAGCCGCGGUAAUACCGGCGGCCCAAGUGGUGGCCACUGUUAUUGGGCCUAAAGCGUCCGUAGCCGGCCCGGUAAGUCUCUGCUUAAAUCCCGCGGCUUAACCGCGGGGCUGGCAGAGAUACUGCCGGGCUUGGGACCGGGAGAGGCCGGGGGUACCCCAGGGGUAGCGGUGAAAUGCGUUGAUCCCUGGGGGACCACCUGUGGCGAAGGCGCCCGGCUGGAACGGGUCCGACGGUGAGGGACGAAGGCCGGGGGAGCAAACCGGAUUAGAUACCCGGGUAGUCCCGGCUGUAAACUCUGCGGACUAGGUGUCGCGUGCCCUUCGGGGGCACGCGGUGCCGAAGGGAAGCCGUUAAGUCCGCCGCCUGGGGAGUACGGUCGCAAGACUGAAACUUAAAGGAAUUGGCGGGGGAGCACUACAACGG